This 425-nucleotide ribosomal RNA is filed under the name uncultured bacterium. RNAcentral's name for it is "partial 16S ribosomal RNA". It matches the Rfam family "Bacterial small subunit ribosomal RNA", at positions 354 to 796 of the family's 1533-position model. The record is from RNAcentral.
GUGGGGAAUCUUGCGCAAUGGGCGAAAGCCUGACGCAGCCAUGCCGCGUGAAUGAUGAAGGUCUUAGGAUUGUAAAAUUCUUUCACCGGGGACGAUAAUGACGGUACCCGGAGAAGAAGCUCCGGCUAACUUCGUGCCAGCAGCCGCGGUAAUACGAAGGGGGCUAGCGUUGCUCGGAAUUACUGGGCGUAAAGGGCGCGUAGGCGGACAGCUUAGUCAGAGGUGAAAGCCCAGGGCUCAACCUUGGAAUUGCCUUUUAUACUGGCUGUCUUGAGUACGGGAGAGGUGAGUGGAACUCCGAGUGUAGAGGUGAAAUUCGUAGAUAUUCGGAAGAACACCAGUGGCGAAGGCGACUCACUGGCCCGUUACUGACGCUGAGGCGCGAAAGCGUGGGGAGCAAACAGGAUUAGAAACCCGGGUAGUCC